This 197-nucleotide ribosomal RNA is filed under the name uncultured bacterium. RNAcentral describes it as "partial 16S ribosomal RNA". It matches the Rfam family "Bacterial small subunit ribosomal RNA", at positions 328 to 539 of the family's 1533-position model. The record is from RNAcentral.
ACGCUCGACACCUACGGGCGGCAGCAGUGGGGAAUAUUGCACAAUGGGGAAACCCUGAUGCAGCAACGCCGCGUGAAGGAAGACGGUUUUCGGAUUGUAAACUUCUGUUCUUAGUGAAGAUAGUGACGGUAGCUAAGGAGCAAGCCACGGCUAACUACGUGCCAGCAGCCGUGGUAAUCUGAGCGGGCUGGCAAGGC